This 352-nucleotide ribosomal RNA is filed under the name uncultured soil bacterium. Its description in RNAcentral is "bacterial SSU rRNA". It matches the Rfam family "Bacterial small subunit ribosomal RNA", at positions 512 to 863 of the family's 1533-position model. The record is from RNAcentral.
CAGCCGCGAUAAUACGUAGGCAGCGAGCGUUCUUCGGAUUUACUGGGCGUAAAGGGUGUAUAGGCGGUUCUAUAAGUUUGGUGUGAAAUCUCCCGUCUCCACCGGGAGGGUGGUGCAUACACUGGGGGACUGGAUUGCGGGAUGGGAGAGUAGUAUUCGUGGUAUACGCGGUGAUAUGCGUAGAUAUCAGGAGGCAUACCGGUGGUACAGACGUCUCUGUGCACCACCACUGACUGUGAGACACGAAAGCGUGGAUAGCACACAGGAUUAGAUACUGUGAUAGUCCACGCCCUACACGAUGCAUAUGUGGUGUAGUUCAUUCAGUUGAUCUGUGCCGGAGCUAACGCGUUAA